GUAGGUGAACCUGCGGAAGGAUCAUUAACACGAAUUUUAUCCAAUAUCAAACCAAACGUGAACUUUUCCCCUCCCUAUGCAACACUCUCUCAGUAAAAUGUAAGAGUUUGUCUAGGCUAACCUUUUUCACUAAUAAUUAACAACACUUGCUGUUGUUAGCUAUUUUUCAAACCCCUAAAACACUUAACUUAGUUCAACUUUUUCUUCUUUUAGGAAAGGAACACGAACUACUAAACUAAAAAUCAAUUUCUCCAUUAAUUUUUGGGAAAUUAUUUUUUCGAUAUUACGAAAAAUUAAAGAACAACUCUUAACAAUGGAUAUCUUGGUUCUC
RNAcentral lists this unclassified non-coding RNA (331 nucleotides) under rhizosphere metagenome. RNAcentral's name for it is "partial ribosomal RNA internal transcribed spacer region". The record is from RNAcentral.